RNAcentral lists this ribosomal RNA (301 nucleotides) under uncultured bacterium. RNAcentral describes it as "partial 16S ribosomal RNA". It matches the Rfam family "Bacterial small subunit ribosomal RNA", at positions 509 to 809 of the family's 1533-position model. The record is from RNAcentral.
CAGCAGCCGCGGGAAUACGUAGGUCCCGAGCGUUGUCCGGAUUUAUUGGGCGUAAAGCGAGCGCAGGCGGUUUGAUAAGUCUGAAGUUAAAGGCUGUGGCUCAACCAUAGUUCGCUUUGGAAACUGUCAAACUUGAGUGCAGAAGGGGAGAGUGGAAUUCCAUGUGUAGCGGUGAAAUGCGUAGAUAUAUGGAGGAACACCGGUGGCGAAAGCGGCUCUCUGGUCUGUAACUGACGCUGAGGCUCGAAAGCGUGGGGAGCGAACAGGAUUAGAUACCCGGGUAGUCCCUGUCUCUUUACAC